This 263-nucleotide ribosomal RNA is filed under the name Ummidia sp. MY2313. RNAcentral's name for it is "partial 12S ribosomal RNA". Lineage: Eukaryota; Metazoa; Arthropoda; Arachnida; Araneae; Ctenizidae. The record is from RNAcentral.
AGGUAAUACUCUCAAGGGAAACCUUCCUCUUAUGGCGGCCUUAAUUCUUAUUAGAGGAACUCGUCUCUUAAUCGAUAAUCCACGAUAAUAUUUUCUAUUCUUUACGCUCUUAUACCGCCGUCUCAAGACCAAAUUAUUUAUAUGAUCAUAAAAAUAAUCUAUUAUUAAGUCAGGUAAAGGUGAGGCUAUAGUAUUAGAGAAGAUAAGUUACAUGUAAAUAUGAUUUAAGGAUUUUUCAUAAAAAUGUGAAGGAAAAAGGAUUU